RNAcentral lists this long non-coding RNA (940 nucleotides) under Anas zonorhyncha (Eastern spot-billed duck). Its description in RNAcentral is "lncRNA (ENSAZOG00000003184.1)". Lineage: Eukaryota; Metazoa; Chordata; Aves; Anseriformes; Anatidae. The record is from RNAcentral.
GUUAAGCAGGUUGGCAUGAAGACUGUGGGUCUGGGCAGUCCAAUCAAGGCAGGCAAUCAAAAAAGGAGAAGCUGAGGCCAGAAGCUGAAAUUUGAAUUAAAGUAUCAUUUGGACAAAAGCCAGGUGGGAACUUAUAAACUGAAUUGCACGUCAUGCUCAACACAUCCCAAGUCCUGCAGUGCAGCUACACAACGAUGUAUUUGCGAGGCUGACAUGAGGCUUGGGAGAUGGCCUCUAAUCAAACAGGAGGCUUUGCUACGGGACUGAGCCCUGGUUCCUGUGAUUGCAAAUGGAAGCUGUUCUUGACUUUAAGUAUUCGUAAAGCACUGGACAAAGGAGACAAAGAAAAUAUUAACACCCUUUUGACAGGUGAGGAAGAGCAUAGAGACACUAAGAAUGUAUCUAGCAGAAAAACAUUAGGGAUAUUCAUGCUAAAGACAAGUCCACUUGGCUACACAACAAAGUCAGUUAUCAGCCAGAGGUAAUUAGCACAGGUGCCAGGAGCAGGAUGGCUGUGUUGAUACGGCACCUAAACUGAGCCCCACUGACACUGGCUUCUUAAUGCUACAUUGGGCAAUGCAGGUAUUUCCUAAAUACUUUGCCCAGUGGGAAUGAAGCCCAGAGCAUUGAAGCUUUAAUGCCUUUAAAACAAGAGUUGUUUUUUCACAGCUACCUGCUUACUUUUGACCAGCAUCCUGCUCAUCUUUAUUGUGUUGUUUUUUGUCUGCCAUUUCCUUUAAAUACAUAUAUAUAUAUUUUAUUAUUAUUAUUUUUUUUUCCAGACAAGCAGACAGAAGAACAACCUCCUCAGAGUCCUCUGCUGAGGACAGCAGCACAAACUCAGUUUUACAAUCAGGCACUGCAGGAAACAAGUGCUACUCUGAGAAACGACUUUGUCAGAAAUGUAGCUGAAGUGUUUAAAAGUGAGAAGUGGUUGUGA